AUACGUAGGUGGCAAGCGUUGUCCGGAUUUAUUGGGCGUAAAGCGAGCGCAGGUCGGUUUUUAAGUCUGAUGUGAAAGCCCUCGGCUUAACCGAGGAAGCGCAUCGGAAACUGGGAAACUUGAGUGCAGAAGAGGACAGUGGAACUCCAUGUGUAGCGGUGGAAUGCGUAGAUAUAUGGAAGAACACCAGUGGCGAAGGCGGCUGUCUAGUCUGUAACUGACGCUGAGGCUACGAAAGCAUGGGUAGC
Molecule: ribosomal RNA, 248 nt
Filed under: uncultured bacterium
Lineage: Bacteria
Description: partial 16S ribosomal RNA
Rfam family: Bacterial small subunit ribosomal RNA
Source: RNAcentral